UGAAAUUUUGGUCUGAAUCUUUGUGGAUUCAAUUCUAGUGACAGCAGUGUAAUUUAGUGAGGAAAGAUUUUGUUUAAGAAAGUUCCUUUUAGAGUAUUUAUUAUGUUAACUUGUAGGAAGAAUUGGAAGUUCUUUUUGAAGAGUAGGAAGUGAAGAGUGAUAAAUAUUUGAUCUGGAACCCAUAGGUUGAGUUACCAAAAGCAUCAACAUGCUUUGAUUCGGACUGUUAGCAUUAGUUAUAUUCAAAUGUGGUUUAGAUCUUCAUUAAAGUCUAGUUCAUGUAAUUGCAGGAGAAGAAUGAGUCCAUUUUUUAUGGUAAGGAAGAAAAUGGUUUUGAAGUGGUCGAAUUCGAACUGCCAGAGCUGGAUCUAUUCUUGGAAAAUGCUUGCUUCUUUGAAGAAGAGAAAGUGCAACUUUUUGAUGCAGUUGGAGAGGCUGAUAAUAAUGUGAUUUCCAGUCGGAGCUCAUGUGGUUGGAGCUUUCAUAAUGCCUUGCGGUAGCUGUUUCUUCUGUAAUAAGGGUCAAGAUGACUUAUGCGAGGAUUUCUUCGCUUCUAACCGUGCAAAAGGAACCCUUUAUGACGGAGAAACCCGCUUGUUCCUCCGCAACAGUGGCAUGUUGAUUUCUCGACAGAGUAGUUUUAGUUACUCGUCAUAUAAGUGCUGGCCUCUUCUUACAUGUGAAACUCAACAGGGUUGAGUGGCCUCUUCUAAAGCCAAAUCUUCUGUCCUGUUUGGUUGCUGAGAAAGUGGGGGGAAAAAGUAAAGAAAAUGAAUUUUUUGAGUCCUACUGGAUACUGUCAUUUCUGGGUUUUGUUGUAUAUUAUUUAUGUAGUUGAUGAAUUCGUUGAUUGUUGAAAGGUCUGACAUGAUUGUAUUUUUAUCAAAAUUAUAUAUACAAUUUUGACUGAUAGCAAUUUUGUGGCUUUGUAUACAAGGUAGUAAUUAAUUUUUUGGUU
Molecule: non-coding RNA, 958 nt
Organism: Camellia sinensis
Lineage: Eukaryota; Viridiplantae; Streptophyta; Magnoliopsida; Ericales; Theaceae
Source: RefSeq, a predicted model, not a curated record